Cryptomeria japonica (Japanese cedar) is the source of this 810-nucleotide long non-coding RNA. RefSeq lists it as uncharacterized. The transcript is spliced from 3 exons. The record is from RefSeq and is a predicted model, not a curated record. NCBI's taxonomy places the organism in Eukaryota, Viridiplantae, Streptophyta, Pinopsida, Cupressales, Cupressaceae.
UGAAGAUUGAGGAAGAUAUCAAGCUCAAACUAUGUCUUGGCAUGGAUGGUGUUGAAUAUAAAACUUCUUCCUUAAAGGAAAAUCCCACCGAGGAGGGCAACGAGUAGGAGAAAUGGAAGUUUGGGCUCUACAAGAGAACCAAUGCCUAAACCUAGCACUGCUACAGAAUCUUUUUGAUUGCUCAGUCGAGAACUACGAUCUUUAGCUCUAGAAUUGAAUCAUACACACACCACCUCCUAACCGAUGGAGAGAAACCGAAAGCUCGUUGAAGAGAGACGCCCUCGGAUGGAAGCUCAUCAAGGAUGGAAAGCAGUGUUCUCUUCUCUUCAGCUUGUGCCACCUGUAUGGCAGCAUCUUUUUAUUGUGUCAGAGGUUUCUGCAGCGUAGUCUUCUUCUAUUCUCUGAAAUUUCUACAUUUUUGUAAAAAAAGCAGCUUCAGUUUCUUUGUCUCUGUUGAGCCGUAUGACAAGUGGCAAUACCUGUCUGUAUGUCGUCUUUCUUGAGGCGUUUUUUUCUGAAAUCUUCAGGUGACCCUUCACAUUUCAUGUUCAGCUAUGUUGCAACGGUUUCUUAUUAGUGACAGGUGUUUUUUUCCGAAAAAGUAUGUUGGCGCGUUCUUAAAUAACGUAUUUAGCUGGGAGCUUAUCUUGUAUGAGCUUUGAUUCUGGAAGGUUUGGUGUAUUCUUAAGUUUUUUCUACACUUGUUUUUAAAGGAUUUUGUCAUUACUUGAGUUCAAUGGAGGUAGAGAAGUGUAACAGUUCACUUCACUUGAUAUUUUUUUGCCAGUAAUAAUAAUGACUUCAAAAAGA